Molecule: unclassified non-coding RNA, 255 nt
Filed under: Hevea brasiliensis (rubber tree)
Lineage: Eukaryota; Viridiplantae; Streptophyta; Magnoliopsida; Malpighiales; Euphorbiaceae
Source: RNAcentral
UUUUUAUUUGAUUGUUCACUUGAAAAUGUCCAGAAAAAGUUGCCUAUCCAAUGGAAUUGUAAAAUUCUUUCUGUUAAUCCAUAUUUGUGAUGGCCUUAAACAGAAAAUAAAUGAAUCUUAGGUUCUCCAGCAACAACAAUUUUCUUGACAAAUGAUAAACAUAGGAAAUCAGCAAUAGGGAGAUGAUAUUGUGACAUAAGUUUGUUGGAACGGCAGUGGAUAUAAUGAUGUGUUUGGUUGUCAGCUCUGUAUUUG